This is a ribosomal RNA of 2992 nucleotides. It matches the Rfam family "Bacterial large subunit ribosomal RNA". The record is from Rfam.
GGCUAAGCUAUAAAGGGCAAACGGUGGAUGCCUUGGUGCCGGGAGGCGAUGAAAGACGUGGAAAGCUGCGAUAAGCUUCGGGGAGUUGCUUAACAAACUUUGAUCCGGAGAUUUCUGAAUGGGGAAACCUGUCAUGGUAAAUACUGUGACAUGUUCAGGUGAAUACAUAGCCUGAUCAAGCCAACGGGGAGAACUGAAACAUCUUAGUACCCCCAGGAAGAGAAAGUAAAAACGAUUUUCCUAGUAGCGGCGAGCGAACGGGAAACAGCCCAAACCUGCCAUGUGUGAUAGCCCGAAGGCGUUGCAUGUCAGGGGUCGUGGGAUCUGAAUUGUACCUGUUUCGGAAGGUGCGGAGAGUUACAAAGGUGAUUUGUAGUCGAACGGACUGGAAAGUCCGGCCAUAGCAGGUGACAGCCCUGUAGGCGAAAUGAAUCACUCUCUCUUUUCAGACACCCAAGUACUGCGGAACACGAGAAAUUCUGUGGGAAUUUGUGAGGACCAUCUCAUAAGGCUAAAUACUACCCGGCAACCGAUAGUGAACCAGUACCGUGAGGGAAAGGUGAAAAGUACCCCUGUGAGGGGAGUGAAAUAGUACCUGAAACCGUUUGCCUACAAGCAGUGGGGGCUAUGGCAUUAGCCAUAGUGACCGCGUGCCUUUUGCAUAAUGAGUCAGCGAGUUACUUAAUGUAGCAAGGUUAAGCCGUGAGGUGUAGCCGCAGGGAAACCGAGUCUUAACAGGGCGCCAAGUUGCAUUGAGUAGACCCGAAACCAGGUGAUCUAGCCAUGGCCAGGUUGAAGCGCGAGUAAAAUCGCGUGGAGGACCGAACCCAUAUAGGUUAAAAACUAUUGGGAUGAGCUGUGGUUAGGGGUGAAAGGCCAAACAAACCUGGAAAUAGCUGGUUCUCUCCGAAAUAUAUUUAGGUAUAGCCUCACAUGUUUCUCAUCGGGGGUAGAGCACUGGAUGGGCUAGGGGUCUCACCAGAUUACCAAACCUAACCAAACUCCGAAUACCGAUGAUGUAAAGUGUGGGAGUCAGCCCGCGGGAGCUAAGUUCCGCGGACGAGAGGGAAACAACCCAGACCGCCAGCUAAGGUCCCCAAGUCUAUGUUAAGUGGGGAAGGAUGUGGAAAUGCCCAGACAAUCAGGAGGUUGGCUUAGAAGCAGCCAUCCUUUAAAGAAAGCGUAAUAGCUCACUGAUCGAGUGGUUCUGCGCCGAAAAUGUAACGGGGCUCAAACAUAGCACCGAAGCUGCGGAUAGAAAUUUAUUUCUAUGGUAGGAGAGCGUUGUGUAAGUAUUGAAGCGUGACUGUAAGGUCAUGUGGAGUUUACACAAGAGACCAUGCUGACAUGAGUAGCGAUAAAGGGGGUGAGAAACCCCCUCGCCGAUAGCCCAAGGAUUCCUGAGUAAAGCUAAUCUUCUCAGGGUUAGUCGAUCCCUAAGCCGAGGCCGAAAGGCGUAGGCGAUGGAAAACAGGUUAAUAUUCCUGUACCACCGAGUUAUCGUUUGAGAGAAGGGGGGACGCAGGAGGGCAAGUCAUCCGUCUGCUGGAAUAGGCGGUUCAAGCUGGUAGGCUUAAGGAGCAGGCAAAUCCGUUCCUUUUUAAGGCCGAGAAGCGAUGAGGAGGGAUCUGAUCCCAUAAACUGACUGCACCCAUGCUGCCAAGAAAAGCCUCUAUCGAGAUAACAGGUGAUCGUACCAAAACCGACACAGGUAGGCAGGGAGAGUAUCCCGAGGCGCUUGAGAGAACCCUGGUUAAGGAACUCGGCAAAAUGAUACCGUAACUUCGGGAUAAGGUAUGCCCCCCCGUGUUAGAAGACUUGCUCUUCAAAGCGUGGGAGGGUCGCAGAGAAACGGCGGUAGCGACUGUUUACUAAAAACAUAGGACUCUGCAAAGUCGUAAGACGAGGUAUAGGGUCUGACGCCUGCCCGGUGCCGGAAGGUUAAGGGGAUUUGUUAGCGCAAGCGAAGCUUUGAACCGAAGCCCCGGUAAACGGCGGCCGUAACUAUAACGGUCCUAAGGUAGCGAAAUUCCUUGUCGGGUAAGUUCCGACCUGCACGAAUGGCGUAACGACUUCCGCACUGUCUCAACCAGGGACUCAGCGAAAUUGGAAUGGCGGUGAAGAUACCGUCUACCCGCGAAAAGACGGAAAGACCCCGGCACCUUUACUACAGCUUGACAUUGGAUUUUGGUACAUGAUGUGCAGGAUAGGUGGGAGACUUUGAAGCGGGCACGCAAGUGUUCGUGGAGUUACCCUUGAAAUACCACCCUUCAUGUACUAUGGUUCUAACGUGGGUCCCUUACCGGGAUUACGGACAGUGUCUGGCGGGUAGUUUGACUGGGGCGGUCGCCUCCCAAAGAGUAACGGAGGCGCGCGAAGGUUCCCUCAGGCUGAUUGGAAACCAGCUUAAGAGUGUAAAGGCAUAAGGGAGCUUGACUGCGAGAGAGACAUUUCGAGCAGGUAGGAAACUAGGUCUUAGUGAUCCGGCGGUUCUGUAUGGAAGGGCCGUCGCUCAACGGAUAAAAGGUACGCCGGGGAUAACAGGCUUAUCGCCCCCAAGAGUUCACAUCGACGGGGCGGUUUGGCACCUCGAUGUCGGCUCAUCACAUCCUGGGGCUGGAGCAGGUCCCAAGGGUUUGGCUGUUCGCCAAUUAAAGUGGUACGUGAGCUGGGUUUAAAACGUCGUGAGACAGUUUGGUCCCUAUCUUUCGUGGGCGUAGGAUAUUUGAGGAGAUCUGUUCCUAGUACGAGAGGACCGGAAUGGACGAACCAAUGGUGUUCCUGUUGUCGUGCCAACGGCAUUGCAGGGUAGCUAAGUUCGGAACGGAUAACCGCUGAAAGCAUCUAAGCGGGAAGCCAACUUCAAGAUUAGAUAUCCCAUCACAUAAAGUGACUAAAGACCCCUUGAAGACUACAAGGUUGAUAGGCCGGGUGUGUAAGCACAGUAAUGUGUUCAGCUAACCGGUACUAACAGGUCGUGAGGCUUAGCCAC